Molecule: long non-coding RNA, 7816 nt
Filed under: Olea europaea (common olive)
Lineage: Eukaryota; Viridiplantae; Streptophyta; Magnoliopsida; Lamiales; Oleaceae
Description: long non-coding RNA (OEUR_LNC001193)
Source: RNAcentral
GAAGAUUAACAGACAUCCCACAUUGCUUAGGAAGGCUAGAAACUCGUCCGGUAUCAACCUUGUUUCCCACAAUGGCUAAGGCCGAUUUUAUGCAGUUGCAGGUAGCUAUUUUAUCUGGUUUUGACGUUGCUUGUGCAAGAAUACUCUUCACUCCUGCACAGCAGUCACUUGUUGGUUGUGCAGAUUGGUCGUCAAUGUAUGAUACGCACGAGGUCAGUUUCGCAGUGACAGUCGAGCAUGAAGGUGCAGCGGCCGUGGCUGGCCUUAACACUAACAGUACAAAGAUGGAUAGAAUUUCGAGUAGUAGAGCCAUUUUUGCUCUUUCAAGAAAGUUAAGAGCAAAUGUUCAAAGGAUUUUCAGUUGUAAGUAACACUGUUUUUGCUUGGGCAGAGGAGAUGUAUAUAGGCUUGCUAUCAGUUGCUUGUUUGCUUAAAAUCCCCAAGUGGACAGACCAUGCAAUUGUCAUGAGCCUUGUUCUUUUGGGUGGAUGCUUCAACUGAAAUUUCAUUGCCAUUUGGGGUUUCUUUACCACCUGAAAAUGAAAUUGCAAAAUGCCACGGCAUUUAGCCCUUGUUUGAUAAUCAUUAUUUUUAAAUCUUUUUUUACACACUUAUUUUCAACUACACAUUUAUAUAAUAAAAUAUUCUGCACGUAAACUCAAAACUUUUUUCUCCCUUUUAAUCACACAAUCUCCUAAAAAUCACUGUUCAAAACUCUAAUUUUUUUCAAAUAAUGGUUGUCAAACAAGAGCUUAAAUUGUCGUGUUGGAAGCAGGCAUGGUUGACCCGAUCAUUGUAGCAUGAAAUGGGUUAAAGGGAGAAGUUCCCACCAACUAUAGCCAAAUAAAACUCCCUUAAUUCCUUGGACAUGAAAGCGGAAGGAUAAAAUUCUCUCAAGAAAAUACAACAAAAUUUGUAUUGAAAAGGCAAGAAACACCAAUUUUGGCAUACAGUCAUCCCACAAAGGGUCUUUGAAGCUAUAGUAUUUUUGAAUUCUGACAACAAAAAUGAACUCAAAAUAUUAAAAUUAGGGGAAUAAAAAGAAAAAUUGUAUGAAACGUCACCUUUGAGACUUAGUACACUUGUAGUUGUAUUACACGCGCCUCUUUUAUUUAAAAGAAAAAAAAAAGGAAAAAAAAUCAAAAUGUGUUCCCAGCGUACGUGAGCGUGUGGGUACUCCAAAUGCAUAUUGAUCCCUGCAAUAUUCUUGAUUUUUCAGUAUAUAAAGUAAAUUAGUUUUCAUAUAGUUAAAAAUAUUUUUUAUUUGAUGAUUAAAAUACAUUUAUAAAAAUAUGAAAGUUAUUUUUCCUUCAAUUAAAUUCUGAAUUUUCUAUGAAAUCAAAAAUAUUUAUUAAGUAGUUUAUUGCUCAGUGGAAGGAUUAUUAAUUGAUGUUGAAUUUGAAGGAAGAGAUGCAACAAUAAAAUUGGGCUAGUGGAUGCAAAGAUUAAAAGAGAAGAAAAGUUAUGGACUUUCUGGUGUCUAAUAGUAGAUACAUGUUUUUGUGUACAUGUUUCCAUUAAUAUAAUUUUGCUUGCUUGAUUUUUUAUUGAAUAAACUUCGUUUGUAAUGUGCCAAAUACAUUCUCUAAUGUGAACACCGAUUUUUUUUAUCACUCGACAGUUUGAAUUAUACGAACGGGUCUUAAAAAUUUCGUGUGUUGAAAUUUUGGUAUUGGGAUCUUUGUUGUUAUUCUUGUCCUAUCACUCUAUAAGUUCCUUUUUAGUUAUAGCAGUUUGAUUCACCAGCAUUGAAGGAAAUGAACGGCGAAAUAUUUGGCUCAUGGAUGCAUAAAAAAAGAAAUGUUUGUCUGUAUUCUAUCUGAGAAUGGAGAUUUAUCAGCCCAUUUUUCCUGAAUCAAUAAAUUUAUGUCUAUAAUAUGGAAUCUCAAGUCACUUUUUAUACUCAUCUUGUGGUUGCACAAUUAAUUGAACAUCUAGGUGAAUGUAAAUUUCUCACAUUUCUGAUGGUUUAUGCUGAAGUAAUGUUUGUUAAGAUAACAUAGUAAGUGUGAUCAUGUCAGUGAAAACACAUACUAGUGGUCACCAUAUUCAUUGGUUCACUUUGAGAGAUGAGCGGUGAAAUUUGAGACACACACUGAGAAGCACAAUAUUACCAUUGUAACCUUCUUUUUCUUAAUGGAAAUAUGCAGCAUCAAGUGGACGUAAUAAACCACAUGAAACCUUUGUCUUGCCAGACAAUAAGUUAUUGUAACUUGAGAUUGUUAUUGCAAUACCAUAAAAAUUUGAAGUUCGCACAAAGCAUCUUAAACUCAUUGCAUUAGUCUGUUGAGAUAUCUGUUUGGCAGUGCUAGACAUCACAACACGAGAUUUAUUUUUAUUAUUUUUUUUCGGUUCAAUAUUUCUUUUACUGUCCAACCCUCCUUACCAAAUAAGCAAUAAUUGAACCAUUAUGUUGCGAAGAUGAAGACCACAUUUGUUUUUUUGAUCACUUCAAUCCCAUCAAGACCAGUAUUUUUCAGUUGUUUCAUUUUAGUCUUGUUUGGAAUUUGGUUCAAGAUGGUGAAGAAUAUAUAACAGAAAAUUCUACUUUCCAGGCAGGGAGAAGUGCUUCAGUUUAUUCACAGAUUAUUUAUCUAGGAGGUUGAGGCAGUUUUGAACAAAGGAUAGUAAGAUACAAGAGCCUCAUGGAUGUCCACAGCCAGAUUGCACUUAGCUAAAAUGAAGAAGACACAGGUUGAUCUAGCUUCUAUUGUUAUCUAUGAAAGAUAUUUUAUGUUUAUGAUUUUGCUUUGUUCUGCUCCAACAUUUGCUCUGAGUAGCACUUUCUUAGUCAGCUCAUGACUAAAUAAAGAACCUUUUUAGGAUCCACAUAAUACAUCCGAAAUUAAUCCUGCUAAUCAGGCUUCACAUGAGUCCAUAAAUGAACAACCAAAGAAUGCCGAAGAGACUCCUGUGCCAGAUUCAGGUUCAGUUUCAGCAUCAACCAUUGAUAACAGAAAAGUUUCGCGAGAGGAUAUUGAACUUGUAGGGCAAUUUUCUCUUUUGGUCUUUUCUCAUUCUUUUUGAGAAUUCCAUGAAGAAUUUUUGCCUGCGAUCUCUAUAUCAAAAUGUAUUCAUAAUCUGCUACAGGUCCAGAAUUUGAUCGAACGAUGCCUACUGUUAUACAUGAAUAGAGAUGAGGUGGUAAAGACCUUACUGAAUAGUGCCAGGAUAGAUGCCGGGUUCACAACAUUAGGUAGGUAUUUUUCAGGUUAUCAAAAGAAACUUCCUAUGCAUUGGCAUCUGGGUACUAUGAUUAGUUGCUCUUUUGAUAUAUGCUUCUCUGAGGCUUAAAAUCUGAUUUAAUUACAUUGCCGAAUCUUCUAUAUUCAUUUCUCUUCUUCAUUUUCUUUAUCAAUAUAGUUUGGCAGAAAUUAGAAGAAGAAAAUGCUGUCUUUUUCCGGGGCUACUACAUAAGGCUUAAAUUGAAGAAACAAAUUCUCUUAUUCAAUCACUUGCUUGAGCAUCAGUAUCAUCUAAUGAAGUAUCCAAUGCCUACAAGGGUUCCUUUGGCUCCUAUGCAGAAUGGAAUUCAUCCAAUGCCAGGUAAAUCUUAAUUUCUGUCGUUUAUUUGAGUAAAAUACUAUAUUCUAUAUUUUAAUUUGAAAACUCAAUGAUGAGAUUCUAAAUUGUUCUUGUAUCCAUUAGAAGUGAUAAUUGCGCCAGAUCUACAGUGCUUAUGCAACGUGAGAGAGUUAAAGAAAUCUGUUGGUGCAAAAAAUAAAAAAAUAAAUAAAAAUUGAAAAUACUCUUCAUGUUUUAGUUCUUCAUUGUUAACUUAGGUUCAAUGGAUGCACAUCUGUCUCCUAAACUGUGCCCUUCCAUAAUUUUUUCCCUUAAAAAUAAAUAAUAUAUCUGUUGUCUGCCAACAGUAUGGUGAAAUUCUCAUUCCUGAUGCCACAGUAUCUUAGAAGAUACGACAAUUUCUGACUAGAAUUGAAAAUUUUCGUGUGUGUGUUUCGCUGUUCUUGUACUGCUAAGUCAUUGCUGAUUUGGUAGAAAUACAUUUUAUGUAAGUUUUAUCUCAGAAAAUAUUGCAAUCAUUUAAUCACCAGGACACAAUCGCUCUACUAAAAUGGAAAAAUAAACAGGUCUUCCAUGGUUCAACAAAAAAGAUUCAUGACAAUUAUUUUAAAUAUCCAUUUGAAUUUUUUUAUUAAGCUUGUUUUUACUAUCAGAUUCUAUUGUUCUUUUUGUGUCCUUUACUUGAUCAUUAAUUGUCAUGAAGGAAGGCUUUUGCUGUCGAGAUCAUGGUGUUUAUGGCCGGCCUUUGUCUACUGGAACCGGCCUUUUUGAUUUUGGCAAUUAAGUUGCUCUGGAAAAUGCAGUGUUAUCUCCAUGUGUCUUCCCCUCUUCGAGCCCCCCUCCCUCUAGAUCUUAAUGCUUUCUCUAUUCUUGGAGUAGGAUGUAGAUGAGUAGGCCACUGAAAGGGUUGAAUCACAGCUAUUUUGUGUGUAUUAAAUUGCUUUUUUCCGUAUUAUUUUAUUAUCGUUAUUCAAUGCCACUUGUUUGCAUUGCAGUCAACAACUUACCUAUGGGAUAUCCCAUUUUGCACCAGCCUCCAGUUCCAGCUACAGGGCAAUCUCUUCUUGAUUAUAUGGGUUAUUCCACAAAUAUCUGUCACGUAGUAAAUGGAGUUCCUGCUCCUGGCACAGGCAAUUUUCAUCCAAUGCGGAUGAAUUCUGGAAAUGAGUGAGAACUCUCUUCUCUACUAGGAUCAGCUCUCUGUUUUUCCCCUCUUGUCUGACAUUUGAAAAGAAUUUGGAUAUCCAUGAAUUUCUCUUCCUUCAUGUAGUUCCUAAAUCUCUUCUAUGCUUAUCGAAUCUUCUCGCUUCAUAUAUGUUUUUAUCUUGCUAUACAUAAACCUGCACGAGAACUAUUAUUGCAAUUGGUCCUGCCAAAGUAUCUUUACCAUUUAACUUCUGGAGCGUAUUUCUUCACUUGAUCAAUAAUUGAGGUGCUAAAUUGUUGCUCCUUCUAUUGACCAGUUCUUUGAUAUGUUGUCACAGUGAUAUCUUUGCGUAAAACAACUUUAAAAAUAUAUUUUCAAUCUCUCUUAAGGAUAUUAACAUGCGUUGAAGCCUGAAAACAAUUACAUUUUUUCGUUGAAGUUCAGUGUAUCAGAAAAGAAAUCAAGUUAGUUAUAAACUUCUGGAGAUAUAUGAAAUUUCUAUGAUGAAACUAUUAUAAAUUGGUAUAUUUUCUGCUGACAAUCAUAGUUCUUUUUUUGCUCUGAAGUAUGGUGAUUGACACAAACGGAACUGAUGCUCCUGCUAUGACAACAAACAAUGCAAUGCUAUCCAUAUCAGAUAUGCCGGUAAGCCCAACAUCAGUGGCUUCGAGUGGCCAUUUCCCAUUCAUUGCUUCGGAGAUAUCGAGCAUGGGAAUAGAAACAUCAGCAUUUGAUAUGGCAUUUACGUCUGAUGUAGCUAGUUCAGUAGGACUGCAGCUUCCUGCAGAUAAUGGAAAUGAGAAUUCUAGAGAUUCGCUCAGUUCAUGGGCUCAAAUAUCUUGGAAUUUCAGCCUUUCGGACCUAACAGCAGACCUAUCAAGCUUGGGAGGUAAUCCUCUCCUAAUCAGUUGUUAUAUGCUUUGAUAUAACAAUUUAAUGCAAGAAAGUCUCUUUCCUUCAUGCUGCUAUGUUUUUUUUUCCUUACCCCCUUUAAACAACUGUAAUUAAUGGUGCUUGUUGCUAUGAAAAUAUUUCCAGAACUAGGAGCUCUUGGAAACUCUUCUGGUUCUCCCUUUUUGCAUUCAGAUUCAGAUAUUCUUCUUGAUUCUCCAGACCGAAAGGAUAUAGGUAAAAAGGGAAACAGCCAUUUCCUUAAGUACACUUCACUUCUAUUGACAUUGAUGAGAUUUAGGGAGAUAAAAGUGCUAAUCUGAUGCUGCUUUUUUAGUAGAAUUUAAUGGUCUUCUAUUCUUGAGGACUCAGACCUCCUUUGACUUAUAUAGCUAAUUAAUUCUAGAAAAAGGCCUUGUUUGUUUGCCAUGAUACUGUUCCCAAUUCUAUAUUCCUUCACUACAUGGCUGUGAAUUGAGGUAAAGUUCUCCGAGUCUUAUACAGCAAUCUUUGUGUCGCAAGUUUCCAUGUUAUGUUCAUUUAUGCAAUAUCAUGAAGCUAAUUCCUACUCAAAAAUGAUGAUUACUUCGACAAAUGUUAAAGCACUUGACUUGAAGAAUUGGUAAAGGCUUCCAUUUCAAUGAAAGUUCGAUAAGUUUCUUAAGUGUAUUUUAUGCCAACCAUUGGAGCCAAUAGUAGUUGAUAAACAAAAAUACGGAGAAAUAUGUAGAAUAGACAUAUCAAAGGUCACAUCAUAAAUGGCCUAAGUCGAUUUUGAGAUUUUCUUCCACCACUGGGAUUUUGGUUCCAUUAUAUAAUAAGACCACCAAGUUUGCUGAGGAGGGGCCUAGUUGAAUAAAAAUAUUUCAGUCUUCUCAAUUCUCUCUCCAAAUUCUUGGUAUCCUGCAUGAAUCAAGUUUUUGAUGUUUAUAAAAUUUUGGCUAUGUUUAGGUUGAAAAUUAGUUCAUUUAUUUCUAGUUUUCUACACGAUGGAAUGACAGUUUUGGUCCUUAUUUGCUGCUUGCUAUGGAAUUUUUUCUACCCUUUUUUCACACAUUCACGUGACUUCGUUUCAGUGGAGGAGUUCUUCAUUGAUUCUGUUCCUGGGCAGUCAUCUCCGCCAUUGGAUGAAGAGAAGUCCCAGCUUAAGGGGAGAGAUACUUUCACCUCCAUGAAAUCUGACAAUAAUCUCUAUUAGGCAUGUCAAGCCUACACACAGGCAAAGUUAGGUUUAAAGCUUUCAUCUGGUAUAGAGAUCUGUCUUAAUAGAGCAGUCCUGUUAUUUAGUUUUCAUAUUUUGUAAUCCUAAUUUCUGCAAUGAAUGCUGAUCAUGAUAUCGUGUUUUUUACCAUUACAAUGAUUUGCACAUUAAUGGCGUUCAUUUAUGUAAGGAUUCACAUAACCGACCUAAAUUUGUUGAGAAUAAUGCUCAGUUUUGUCAUCGUAAUAUGAAGCUCACCCUCAUUAGUAAUUACAAUAUGCUAGAUGUUGGAAUAGAUUAUAUAUUUCCAUUAUGUUAGAGUAGGUAUGGAAAAAAAAUUAUUGAACUACUUGUAUUUUCAUUCUGAUAUUUCUCGUGUUUAUUUUUCGGUUUUUCAAGUUUGUUAACGGAGUAUAGUUUUUCUCAUUCUUACUUUUCGACAUCUCUAAACUAUUCCCGAAGUUUCCAAAAGUUACGAUUUUCAAAAUGUGUACUAGUCGAUCGAUCAAGUCAUAUUAUUCGCUGAAAUGACUGUCCAACUUUUAAUACCAUACUUUUUAUUUUACAAUAUUGUGACACAAAUCUUGAAAAAACUGGACGUGCAGAACAUCUCAGUGCAUUAUAAACUUUGCUGAUGAUUUAAUUAUCCAAACAUAGCUGUCAUUAUUCCAUAAUUAGGUUCUCAAUUUUAUUCGGAUUAGAGCAUAAAAUUAUUCCGCAAACACUCACGGGAAAUACCAAGAAAUCCUGCAUACAAAAAACCAGAAGUCAGAUUUAUGGCGAGUUGAGGAACGAAGAGAUCAAGAGCAGUAAACUUACUUGGAACAGUCAUAGUUUUUAUCAAUUGGAGGAAGAUUAACAGACAUCCCACAUUGCUUAGGAAGGCUAGAAACUCGUCCGGUAUCAACCUUGUUUCCCACAAUGGCUAAGGCCGAUUUUAUGCAGUUGCAGGUAGCUAUUUUAUCUGGUUUUGACGUUGCUUGUGCAAGAAUACUCUUCACUCCUGCACAGCAGUCACUUGUUGGUUGUGCAGAUUGGUCGUCAAUGUAUGA